This 507-nucleotide small RNA is filed under the name Pongo abelii (Sumatran orangutan). Its description in RNAcentral is "processed transcript". The record is from RNAcentral. Lineage: Eukaryota; Metazoa; Chordata; Mammalia; Primates; Hominidae.
UGUAAUUUCAGUACUUUGGGAGGCUGAAGCAGGAAGAUCACCUGAGCCCAGGAGUUUGAGACCAGUUUGGACAACAUAGUGAGACCCUAUCUCUACACACACAUUUUUUUUUUUUUAAUUAGCCAGGUGUGGUGGCUUGCACCUGUAGUCCCAGCAACUCAGGAGGCUGAGUACAUCUCUUCACAUAUUAAAGACUUGAAGAGUGAAAUGUUUGAGGAACUACUUAAGCACCUUUGCCACUCUGCAGAUGAAUUCCGGGAGGUCAUAAAAGCUGACAUGCGGAGGCAGAUGUUCGCUGAACUCUUCCUACAUUGUGACCACGGGAAGGUAGGGUUUUUGGAUCGGCAGAGGACAUUGGCCCUGCUGGAAUUAUUCUAUGACCAUAGUUCACCAAUGCUUAGGAGUUUACUUCGAAACCCACGACAAUGGCCAUUCAUUGAAUUUGAAGAGAUAAACUUGACUGAGUUGUGGGGAGACAUGGAUAAUCAGAAACACAUUUACGAAGGU